Long non-coding RNA from Hyla sarda, 443 nucleotides. RefSeq lists it as uncharacterized. The record is from RefSeq and is a predicted model, not a curated record. The transcript has 3 exons. Lineage: Eukaryota; Metazoa; Chordata; Amphibia; Anura; Hylidae.
GUUUUGAUAAAUCUCCCCCUAUGUUCCAACUAUAGGAGGCCUGUUUAGUUCCUAUAAUCACACCCAUGUGCCUUCUGGAACUGAAACACAAGUAGAUGUCCCCCCUAUAGUAAGGAACACCACCACCAGGCCUUCCAGUCUGCCAGCCAGUCACAGUAGCCUGCCAGCCAGAACAGCCAGCUUCAGCAAUUAAGGGUCCUGCAAAAUGACGCACAUCAGACGCCCAUCAGACGGAAACUUGAUAAUCUGGAAUGGAAUGUAAUCUGUGAAGGAGGCCCCAAUGUAGAUGUGAACCUAGCCUAAGCUGCUUGUGCCUGUUCAUAAUAUAAUUUUCUGUACUUCUAUAAUGAUAUAAUUGUAUAUGACAAACCAUUACAUACAGUAUGUACUGUCUGAACUGCUGUAUUUUAUACACUACUGUAUGUACAAUGUUCUCCGUGGCA